CAGCCCUGGGAGCACAGGUGAAGGCAAUUCAUGUGUGUGACUGGAAGAGGAGGAGCCUGCCUGCACCUCUCUUAGACCCCAUUUAAGGACUGACUGCUACUGGGGAAGGUUCUCUUUCUGGAGAUCCCCUCUUGGUGAAGUUUUCUACUGUGAACCUGGAAUCUUAUGAUACGGGUCAUCUGUUCCAUGAAGAUAUAGCCAUCUGGGAAAUUAGCAUAUAUAUUUUAUGAAGCAGAGCAGAGCUCCCUCUUGUACUGACUCAGAUGCUGAAGUCCCAGAUUCACAGUAUCCUGCCUAGCCAGCACAGCACAGCUUGUACAGCUUCUGUUACCAGUGGCUUACCUCUCCCCUGCAUGAAGAGCAAACCUACAUUGAAGUGAUGCUGAUACAGCCAUUUGCGAACCCAACCAGCUUCAUGAUGGAGGCAAGCUAACCUGACUGUGGGUUGAACAGGAGAGGGUGGCUUGGCUUUCAGCUAGUUGAAUGAGCUGAAAUGACUCUAGAGCUGCGCAGUCACUGCUGCUGGAAUCAGGAAAGCAGGUCAGGCAUGUGACAUGGGGCAGGGAAGUCCCUUUCAGCAGCAGGAACGUUGGAUAAGCUCAGAUUAAUGGUGAAAGCGCUGUUUAAUAACAAAAGAACAGUGGAGAGAGUGCACCCUGAGAUCCAGCCCCAACGGCAAGAGGGAAAGACAAAAGUCC
RNAcentral lists this long non-coding RNA (698 nucleotides) under Gallus gallus (chicken). RNAcentral describes it as "lncRNA (ENSGALG00010023700.1)". The record is from RNAcentral. Lineage: Eukaryota; Metazoa; Chordata; Aves; Galliformes; Phasianidae.